CAGCAGCCGCGGUAAUACGAGGGGAGCUAGCGUUGUUCGGAAUUACUGGGCGUAAAGCGCGCGUAGGCGGCUUUUUAAGUCAGAGGUGAAAGCCCGGGGCUCAACCCCGGAAUCGCCUUUGAAACUGGAAAGCUAGAAUCUUGGAGAGGUCAGUGGAAUUCCGAGUGUAGAGGUGAAAUUCGUAGAUAUUCGGAAGAACACCAGAGGCAAAGGCGACUGACUGGACAAGUAUUGACGCUGAGGUGCGAAAGCGUGGGGAGCAAACAGGAUUAGAUACCCCGGUAGUCCCUGUCUCUUAUAC
This 301-nucleotide ribosomal RNA is filed under the name uncultured bacterium. RNAcentral's name for it is "partial 16S ribosomal RNA". It matches the Rfam family "Bacterial small subunit ribosomal RNA", at positions 509 to 807 of the family's 1533-position model. The record is from RNAcentral.